This 132-nucleotide ribosomal RNA is filed under the name Cervus hanglu bactrianus (Bactrian deer). RNAcentral's name for it is "partial large subunit ribosomal RNA". The record is from RNAcentral. Lineage: Eukaryota; Metazoa; Chordata; Mammalia; Artiodactyla; Cervidae.
CUCUUUAUGGGUUAACAACUUUGGUUGGGGUGACCUCGGAGAACAAAAAAUCCUCCGAGCGAUUUUAAAGACUAGACCUACAAGUCGAAUCACACAAUCGUUUAUUGAUCCAAAAAAUUGAUCAACGGAACA